AGCUUAUAAUCAUAAAAAGACUAAUCAUCUCUGCAAACUUUGUUUUCUGGAUAUUUUUAAUGUUCACUAAACCAACAUUAAGUUGUUUUUCUUUUUACAUUACCAACAUUUUAUAAAUCCAUUUUCAAAUAAUUGAACUUUUGUACUUAUCAUAUAUUUUGGAAUAUUUUUGUUGAUAAUCAUGAUUCACCAAUGUUACAUGGGUUAUAUAACCGUGGAGUAGUUGAAAAAAUAAGAGAUAAUCAUGGAUCUUAUUUUUCUAGCUUGUAAAGUUUGAUCAAAAUUGAGAGCAUAGUAAAUGUAAAUGUUUAAAAUCUAUUUAGAAAGAAAAAAAAUCUAUUUAAAAAGGAAUUGUAUUAUAGAAAAAUAAUAUCAGCAUUUGGAUUUAUACAACUUC
Molecule: long non-coding RNA, 397 nt
Filed under: Eutrema salsugineum
Lineage: Eukaryota; Viridiplantae; Streptophyta; Magnoliopsida; Brassicales; Brassicaceae
Description: long non-coding RNA (ESAL_LNC000876)
Source: RNAcentral